UAACACAUGCAAGUCGAACGGUAGCACAGAGGAGCUUGCUCCUUGCGGUGACGAGUGGCGGACGGGUGAGUAAUGUCUGGGAAACUGCCCGAUGGAGGGGGAUAACUACUGGAAACGGUAGCUAAUACCGCAUAACGUCGCAAGACCAAAGAGGGGGACCUUCGGGCCUCUUGCCAUCGGAUGUGCCCAGAUGGGAUUAGCUAGUAGGUGGGGUAACGGCUCACCUAGGCGACGAUCCCUAGCUGGUCUGAGAGGAUGACCAGCCACACUGGAACUGAGACACGGUCCAGACUCCUACGGGAGGCAGCAGUGGGGAAUAUUGCACAAUGGGCGCAAGCCUGAUGCAGCCAUGCCGCGUGUAUGAAGNNAGGCCUUCGGGUUGUAAAGUACUUUCAGCGAGGAGGAAGGCAUUAAGGUUAAUAACCUUAGUGAUUGACGUUACUCGCAGAAGAAGCACCGGCUAACUCCGUGCCAGCAGCCGCGGUAAUACGGAGGGUGCAAGCGUUAAUCGGAAUUACUGGGCGUAAAGCGCACGCAGGCGGUCUGUCAAGUCGGAUGUGAAAUCCCCGGGCUCAACCUGGGAACUGCAUCCGAAACUGGCAGGCUAGAGUCUUGUAGAGGGGGGUAGAAUUCCAGGUGUAGCGGUGAAAUGCGUAAAGAUCUGGAGGAAUACCGGUGGCGAAGGCGGCCCCUGGAACAAAGACUGACGCUCAGGUGCGAAAGCGUGGGGAGCAACAGGAUUAAAUACCCU
This 751-nucleotide ribosomal RNA is filed under the name uncultured bacterium. RNAcentral's name for it is "bacterial SSU rRNA". It matches the Rfam family "Bacterial small subunit ribosomal RNA", at positions 49 to 788 of the family's 1533-position model. The record is from RNAcentral.